CCCCCAGGAACAGGACCGGAAGCGAAAGCCCCCCCAGGAACACUGCGGCCAUUUCUACAAGCCGCUUCAGUGCUGUCAUCACGUUUACCCUGCCGUACGAGAGAGGAGAGACUUGGUUUAGUCUUGGUCCCUCCCUGUAACCUCUCACUCUGUGACUGGUAAAGCUGGUAGUGGCUGAGUCAGCACUUUCUCCUCCUGGUUCCUUCUGGGAUCUGCUCACCUAGAAGGGAACGGAAUCCGGGUUGUCAAGUUUGCACAGUAAAUGCUCCUUGCUGCUGAACCAGCCCUCGUUUCUCCUUCUCAUUCCCUCCGUCAUGGGAAGGAUGCUACCACCCACAGUUACUGCGGAUUGUCUCACCUCUGUUAACCCGAUGUAGACACUCCAUCUCAGGAGAAAGGCAACCGCUAAUGAUGACGACGUCGCCGAAGAAGGGGCACGAAGCUGCUAGACAUUAAUUAACUCGGGAGCCCACGCCAAUCCUGAGCUGAUAACAACCUGGCUCGUCUUAGAGUUGAGGAGAAAUAAACAUGCCUUGGAACCUCAUUUAGGAGACAAUUAUUU
Molecule: long non-coding RNA, 562 nt
Organism: Mesocricetus auratus (golden hamster)
Lineage: Eukaryota; Metazoa; Chordata; Mammalia; Rodentia; Cricetidae
Exons: 3
Source: RefSeq, a predicted model, not a curated record